CUGAACAUUUGUACAUUAAGCAAUCAUUUUUUUUGAACGAUACAGAAAUUAGCAUGGCCCCGUGCAUGGAUGACUUUCAAAUUCAUGAAGCAUUCCCUAUUUUU
Small nuclear RNA from Gorilla gorilla gorilla (western lowland gorilla), 104 nucleotides. The record is from RefSeq and is a predicted model, not a curated record. Lineage: Eukaryota; Metazoa; Chordata; Mammalia; Primates; Hominidae.